GAUGAACGCUGGCGGCGUGCCUAAUACAUGCAAGUCGAGCGAACAGAUAAGGAGCUUGCUCCUUUGACGUUAGCGGCGGACGGGUGAGUAACACGUGGGUAACCUACCUAUAAGACGUGGGAUAACUUCGGGAAACCGGUAGCUAAUACCGGAUAACAUUUGGAACCGCAUGGUUCUAAAAGUGAAAAGUAUGGUUUUGCUAUCGACUUAUAGAUGGACCCGCGCCGUAUUAGCUAGUUGGUAAGGUAACGGCUUACCAAGGCAACGAUACGUAGCCGACCUUGAGAGGGUGAUCGGCCACACUGGAACUGAGACACGGGUCCAGACUCCUACGGGAGGCAGCAGUAGGGAAU
This 353-nucleotide ribosomal RNA is filed under the name uncultured bacterium. Its description in RNAcentral is "bacterial SSU rRNA". It matches the Rfam family "Bacterial small subunit ribosomal RNA", at positions 28 to 362 of the family's 1533-position model. The record is from RNAcentral.